Molecule: ribosomal RNA, 468 nt
Filed under: uncultured bacterium
Lineage: Bacteria
Description: partial 16S ribosomal RNA
Rfam family: Bacterial small subunit ribosomal RNA
Source: RNAcentral
GACGAACGCUGGCGGCGUGCUUAACACAUGCAAGUCGAACGGAAAGGCCCUGCUUUUGUGGGGUGCUCGAGUGGCGAACGGGUGAGUAACACGUGAGUAACCUGCCCUUGAUUUUGGGAUAACUUCAGGAAACUGGGGCUAAUACCGGAUAGGAGCUCCUGCUGCAUGGUGGGGGUUGGAAAGUUUCGGCGGUUGGGGAUGGACUCGCGGCUUAUCAGCUUGUUGGUGGGGUAGUGGCUUACCAAGGCUUUGACGGGUAGCCGGCCUGAGAGGGUGACCGGCCACAUUGGGACUGAGAUACGGCCCAGACUCCUACGGGAGGCAGCAGUGGGGAAUAUUGCACAAUGGGCGGAAGCCUGAUGCAGCAACGCCGCGUGCGGGAUGACGGCCUUCGGGUUGUAAACCUCUUUCGCCUGUGACGAAGCGUGAGUGACGGUAAUGGGUAAAGAAGCACCGGCUAACUACGUG